GUGCUCGCUUUGGCAGCACAUAUACUAAAAUUGGAAUGAUGCAGAGAACAUUAGCAUGGCUCUUGUAUAAGGAUGACAAGCAAAUUCAUGAAGCAUUCCAUGUUUUU
Octodon degus (degu) is the source of this 107-nucleotide small nuclear RNA. The record is from Ensembl. NCBI's taxonomy places the organism in Eukaryota, Metazoa, Chordata, Mammalia, Rodentia, Octodontidae.